This is a long non-coding RNA of Pongo abelii (Sumatran orangutan), 3274 nucleotides long. Lineage: Eukaryota; Metazoa; Chordata; Mammalia; Primates; Hominidae. The record is from Ensembl.
GUGGAUACCAUGGCGUGUGAGUUAGAUGUGGUCCCUGCCCUCACAGGGCUGACAGUCCUGAAAUCAAGUGCUGGGACACAGUGGCCAUUGAGCUGGGAGCAUUCUUCCCUCUACUGCUUAAGCCACUGAUGGCUACGAGCUUGAAGAGAGGGAUUCUGGGGGAGAGCUUGGUCCAUCUGGUCACCAAGGCUGGGCAGGACAAAGCAGUCAAGAACCACGGUGUGGCUUGAGAAACAGUCCUGCUUCCUGAGCCUCUUUGCUCUGCCUCUUGGGGCAAGCUCCUUAACCUGUCUGUAUCUUUAUGCCUCUGUCUCCCAUUCAGUUCCUCCUUGAAUACCUCUUUCUACAGAGAGGCAUGGGCUCCCCUGAAGGAUUGUCGAGGCCAGGGUUUGGGAAGUACACUGCCACGGGUCAGAGGACAGCUGCCUCCCACCUUGCCUGGGUGAUGGUGAAUGGGACUCAUCUUUCCCUGCCUUGCUUUUGAGGAGAUGGUUGAAUUUAAGCUAACAGGAAAGCCAAACCAGCACCCUCCUUUGUGCUCUGAGAGGUUGGAGACAUCUGGUCCACCCUGUCGCCCCUGCCCCGGCAAGCCCUGAAGUCGGGAGAAGUGACCACAGGUCUGAAAAUCAGCCAGUGCCAACAUUGCUUGCCCUGCAAGGUGCAACUGAGCCCACAUUCAUAGUUUCCCUGACCACAGCCUUGGGAAGAGGGUGGAAACCCCCGAGGAUGUGUGGGUUUCCCAGCUAAGGGACAAGCUCCCCUGCCACACCCAGUGCCCAUGCAUGCUCGCAUACAUACAGCAGACCACAGCCCUGUUGCCAAGCAGUGCUUCCAAGGGACAGCGAUCCAGAUUCCAACAUUGUCUUGGAGAGGGUUAGUCCACAUCUGAGUUGUGUGAGAUGAGAUGCAAAGGGCUCUGUGUGGGUGAGGAACGCAACUUAGAGAAGCGGGAGAGGCCACCAGGGUUGGGCCCUGUUUAGGUAAUUCCUGUUGGCAACACCUAGAGAGAGCAUCUGAGCUGAAGGAGUGGGAAACUUUGCCCCAGCAAUGGCACGGGCAGCGGGCUCUUUCUGGCGCCCUGUGCUGGAGCAGGGCCAAGUCUUAGGGCAUCACAAACAGCCCAUUUGAUGGAGGGAGCAGGGACAUAGCACAUUUUUGUCUGUCUUUGUGAGGCUGCUUUGCUAACUCUCUGAGGAGAGGAAGCCUCUCAGGCUUUCCAUCAGCUGGGGCUAGUGCCAGAGAAUCCCUUCUCAGUGGCCAGCAGGUUCCUGGGAGGCCAGCACAAGGCACCGCUCCCCGCUCAUGACACCUUGGUGCAGAGUGACCUCCUGCCCAGUCACCACUCCGGCCAGCCCCAGCCAAACACACAAAAGCCCAUGGUUGCGGUUGCAUCUACCCCAUUAGUUGGCAAAGGAUCCUGCUUGAGCUCUGCGUGGUGGCCAAGGAGUAGCAUGGAGGAGGGCCCUGAUUUUAAAAAGGAAGAAUAGAGAGGCCUCAAAACAAUGAAACCAAGAGCUUGAUAUGUCAAGAGGAGACCAAGGCCCUGGGAGGCAUAGGCAAGCCGGGCAGAGUCAGACCAGCGCCCUCCCUUGACUGUCUCCUAGCAUUCCCCUCCCUUAACCUAGACAGGGGCUACCCCAUGUGAGUUCAAGCCAGACUUUGUGGCUGUCCCCAGCCUGCACAGCCCAAGCCCAGGGAAGUGUCCUUUCUUUCCCUUCCUUACUAAUAAUGGGCCUUCCUGAGACACAUUCAGAGAAGGAUCAGAGAGAAAGGAGAACCAUCCAGGAGAGCCACAAGCGCCCACCAAACAGUGUCUCAAGCCUCACCUGAAGCUGCUGUUCCUCCUAUCAGCAUACUAGUAUUAAAUGAGUGUUCCAUCAUGAGGAGAAUGGAAAUAGGUACAAAGGCAUCUAGCUUAGGACAGAAUCGGAUUUCAGCAUGUUAAGGAAUCCCAGAGCUGAUCUCAUUGAAAUGAUUUAUCGUACAGACAAGGAUAUGCAAAUCCACAGAAGUGAAGGGAUUUUUGCUCAAGAUCACAUAGCUGGUAAACUAAGAUAAGGUCAGGGCUUGAACUUGGGCCUUCUGACUCCUUGUCCAGUGUUCUUUCAUCUCACCACAGCUGCCUCCUUUGAAACAGAGGUAUUAAGAUCUGUCCUUCUGGUUCACCCUCUCAUACCUCUUUACUGCCUCUCCCACACCCCCCCACAUGCCUCCCAAAAUGAAAGACAAACAGGAUUGUUUCUGAGACCAAGAUCAGUCUGUCUGUGAUCAGCCUGUGUGUGGUUCACCCAGCCGUGCAAUUAGGGCAGACCUGGGCCAGUGGAAUAGAACAGCUGAUUGGUGUUUGUUACUGUGAACCCUAGACCGUACCCCAUAGAAUGGUGUCUCUUGCUUUGUAACACAUCAGGCCUUCAGCGUGCUGUAUUCCUCAGAAGUGAGGGCAACUCUGUCCAUUCUGCCCAUGGCCACAGGUGCAGAGAGAGGUAGCAGGGCCCAUGCAAGCUGCCACCCUGGGAUUUGCUGGGCUGGAGUUCAACAGAUGUAAAGACUUCGGUGAAGCAAUAAACACAAAACUCUGGGAGAAGAUAUCCAGAAUUUUGUACAUUACUCUGUUUCUUUUUCAAAAAUGAGGCAGAUCAGAUGCCCCUGAGCUGCCCCUUUUUUUCUGAUUCCCAACUGCAAUGUCCUCAGUCAGUGUUGUCCCUUUGCCCGGCUCCCCAACUCUUUGCCAACCUCUUCACACUCCCCUUGAGCUGAGCAUCAGUCGCCUGUGACGUGGCCACCUUCUGUCCUGCUCCCACUCCCGACCCAUGCUGGACCCCGGAGGACCUCCUGCCCCGCCCCCACCACACACCCAUAUCCCCCACCAUUCCAAUUUGUUCUUUCCCGUGGGGAAUUUUUUUUCCCAGCGUCUCCAUCCCUUCCUACAUAUCCACACACACACAAAUUGGUCUGAUCUUUUUUCCAUUGGUUAAACGUUUAACUCCAUGCCAGACCUUGGUUUAACCCCUCUCACAUCAUGUUCGUUCCUUUUUUGCGAGUUAUUUUGCAUUAACCAACUUUGUCAGUGACAGAUGCGUAUCUGAGGGUGUCACGCACGACCUUCAGCAGGGAAGACUUCUGGGCCGUGGAGGACCGUCUAAUACAUGGACUUAUAAACUGACUGCAUGAGCAAUGAAAAGGCCAAAUUAUUCUGAAUUUUUUUUGAAUCACUGUAAAAAAACUGAUUUCUUUUGUAUAGAGAACACUAAACGUAUAAUAAAAGUUGUUCAAA